GAUGAACGCUGGCGGCGUGCCUAAUACAUGCAAGUCGAGCGAACAGACGAGGAGCUUGCUCCUCUGACGUCAGCGGCGGACGGGUGAGUAACACGUGGAUAACCUACCUAUAAGACUGGGAUAACUUCGGGAAACCGGAGCUUAUACCGGAUAAUAUAUUGAACCGCAUGGUUCAAUAGUGAAAGACGGUUUUGCUGUCACUUAUAGAUGGAUCCGCGCCGCAUUAGCUAGUUGGUAAGGUAACGGCUUACCAAGGCAACGAUGCGUAGCCGACCUGAGAGGGUGAUUGGCCACACUGGAACUGAGACACGGUCCAGACUCCUACGGGAGGCAGCAGUAGGGAAUCUUCCGCAAUGGGCGAAAGCGUGACGGAGCAACGCCGCGUGAGUGAUGAAGGUCUUCGGAUCGUAAAACUCUGUUAUUAGGGAAGAACAAAUGUGUAAGUAACUAUGCACGUCUUGACGGUACCUAAUCAGAAAGCCACGGCUAACUACGUG
RNAcentral lists this ribosomal RNA (497 nucleotides) under uncultured bacterium. RNAcentral's name for it is "partial 16S ribosomal RNA". It matches the Rfam family "Bacterial small subunit ribosomal RNA", at positions 28 to 507 of the family's 1533-position model. The record is from RNAcentral.